Molecule: ribosomal RNA, 468 nt
Filed under: uncultured bacterium
Lineage: Bacteria
Description: partial 16S ribosomal RNA
Rfam family: Bacterial small subunit ribosomal RNA
Source: RNAcentral
GACGAACGCUGGCGGCGUGCUUAACACAUGCAAGUCGAACGGUGAAGCUCCAGCUUGCUGGAGUGGAUCAGUGGCGAACGGGUGAGUAACACGUGAGCAACCUGCCCCUGACUCUGGAAUAAGCGCUGGAAACGGCGUCUAAUACUGGAUACGAGAAGGGUCCGCAUGGGCACUUUCUGGAAAGUUUUUCGGUUGGGGAUGGGCUCGCGGCCUAUCAGCUUGUUGGUGAGGUAAUGGCUCACCAAGGCGACGACGGGUAGCCGGCCUGAGAGGGCGACCGGCCACACUGGGACUGAGACACGGCCCAGACUCCUACGGGAGGCAGCAGUGGGGAAUAUUGCACAAUGGGCGAAAGCCUGAUGCAGCGACGCCGCGUGAGGGAUGACGGCCUUCGGGUUGUAAACCUCUUUCAGCAGGGAAGAAGCGAAAGUGACGGUACCUGCAGAAGAAGCACCGGCCAACUACGUG